GAGUUUGAUCCUGGCUCAGGAUGAACGCUGGCGGCGUGCCUAAUACAUGCAAGUCGAGCGAACAGAUAAGGAGCUUGCUCCUUUGAAGUUAGCGGCGGACGGGUGAGUAACACGUGGGUAACCUACCUAUAAGACUGGGAUAACUUCGGGAAACCGGAGCUAAUACCGGAUAACAUUUAGAACCGCAUGGUUCUAAAGUGAAAGAUGGUUUUGCUAUCACUUAUAGAUGGACCCGCGCCGUAUUAGCUAGUUGGUAAGGUAACGGCUUACCAAGGCGACGAUACGUAGCCGACCUGAGAGGGUGAUCGGCCACACUGGAACUGAGACACGGUCCAGACUCCUACGGGAGGCAGCAGUAGGGAAUCUUCCGCAAUGGGCGAAAGCCUGACGGAGCAACGCCGCGUGAGUGAUGAAGGUCUUCGGAUCGUAAAACUCUGUUAUUAGGGAAGAACAAAUGUGUAAGUAACUGUGCACGUCUUGACGGUACCUAAUCAGAAAGCCACGGCUAACU
Molecule: ribosomal RNA, 511 nt
Filed under: uncultured bacterium
Lineage: Bacteria
Description: bacterial SSU rRNA
Rfam family: Bacterial small subunit ribosomal RNA
Source: RNAcentral